GACAAUGGGCGCAAGCCGAUCUAGCCAUGCCGCGUGAGUGAUGAAGGCCCUAGGGUCGUAAAGCUCUUUCGCCAGAGAUGAUAAUGACAGUAUCUGGUAAAGAAACCCCGGCUAACUCCGUGCCAGCAGCCGCGGUAAUACGGAGGGGGUUAGCGUUGUUCGGAAUUACUGGGCGUAAAGCGYACGUAGGCGGAUUAGUCAGUCAGAGGUGAAAUCCCAGGGCUCAACCCUGGAACUGCCUUUGAUACUGCUAGUCUUGAGUUCGAGAGAGGUGAGUGGAAUUCCAAGUGUAGAGGUGAAAUUCGUAGAUAUUUUGAGGAACACCAGUGGCGAAGGCGGCUCACUGGCUCGAUACUGACGCUGAGGUACGAAAGUGUGGGGAGCAAACAGGAUUAGAUACCCUGGUAGUCCACACCGUAAACGAUGAAUGCCAGUCGUCGGGCAGUAUACUGUUCGGUGACACACCUAACGGAUUAAGCAUUCCGCCUGGGGAGUACGGUCGCAAGAUUA
This 510-nucleotide ribosomal RNA is filed under the name uncultured Alphaproteobacteria bacterium. RNAcentral describes it as "bacterial SSU rRNA". It matches the Rfam family "Bacterial small subunit ribosomal RNA", at positions 367 to 896 of the family's 1533-position model. The record is from RNAcentral. Lineage: Bacteria; Pseudomonadati; Pseudomonadota; Alphaproteobacteria.